UACGUAGGUGGCGAGCGUUAUCCGGAUUUAUUGGGUUUAAAGGGUGCGUAGGCGGCACUUUAAGUCAGUGGUGAAAGCCUGUUGCUCAACAAUAGAACAGCCAUUGAAACUGGAGAGCUAGAGUAUGGUAGAGGUAGGCGGAAUUGACAGUGUAGCGGUGAAAUGCAUAGAUAUUGUCAGGAACUCCGAUAGCGUAGGCAGCUUACUAUACCAUUACAGACGCUGAGGCACGAAAGUGCGGGGAUCAAACAGG
RNAcentral lists this ribosomal RNA (253 nucleotides) under uncultured bacterium. Its description in RNAcentral is "partial 16S ribosomal RNA". It matches the Rfam family "Bacterial small subunit ribosomal RNA", at positions 524 to 776 of the family's 1533-position model. The record is from RNAcentral.